CGCGUAGGCGGGCCGGUAAGUCCGGGGUGAAAGCCCCCCAGCUCAACUGGGGAAGUGCCUUGGAAACUGCGGGCCUAGAGGGAGGUAGGGGCAUGUGGAACUUCGGGUGGAGCGGUGAAAUGCGUUGAUAUCCGAAGGAACGCCGGUGGCGAAAGCGACGUGCUGGAUCUCUUCUGACGCUGAGGCGCGAAAGCCAGGGUAGCGAACGGGAUUAGAUACCCCGGUAGUCCUGGCCCUAAACGAUGGGUACUAGGUUGCGGACUAAACAUGGGUUCGCAGCCGAAGACAAAAGUGGUAAGUACCCCGCCUGGGGAGUAUGGUCGCAAGGCUGAA
Molecule: ribosomal RNA, 333 nt
Filed under: uncultured bacterium
Lineage: Bacteria
Description: bacterial SSU rRNA
Rfam family: Bacterial small subunit ribosomal RNA
Source: RNAcentral